Molecule: small RNA, 1998 nt
Filed under: Pan troglodytes (chimpanzee)
Lineage: Eukaryota; Metazoa; Chordata; Mammalia; Primates; Hominidae
Description: retained intron
Source: RNAcentral
GCGCUGGGAAGAGACUGUGCCCCUGCAGCUCCCCUGUCACCGGCUCCAAGGAGCGUCGGGCUCCCCCCGCCCAGCCCUGCAGCACCCAUCCGGCAACGCCAGACUCGGCGCAACGGGGGCAGCUGCGACUUUAAAUCUCUCAGAUCCGCGGCCUGAGGGCUGCCGCCACCGAGAAAUGGAGGCACAGAGCUGUGAACAAGAGACCACGGCUCGCCGAAAUGGCGGUGCCAGGAGCCUGAAAGGGAAUGCAGCCGGCGGGGUUGUCAAGGACAACAUUUGUUUUGGCGCAACCAACGGUGCCGUCACCAAGAAACCGUCGACUCUGAGAAAAAAAGAGAAGUUCGGCUACCGAGAAACUCCGUGCAGCAAGUGCUGUGACAGCAAAACCGCCGGCUCCGCGCCGCUGGCGAAAGAGCCAACGGAAACGCCGGGUGCUGCGAUCGCGACGCCGGCACUAGAGGGCCUCGGAUGGAGAAAGCCCCGCACCGAGACGAGGAAACACUGCACAGCACGACUAGCAGUUGACACAGACAGAAAAGUGUCUCGUCUGCUCUCUGGGAGAAAGCGUGGAUCAAAACCAGCAACUCAGUGGAGGGAACCCCGCAGCCACUGAAGAAGUUGCCCACGUGGCGGUGGGGCCAGAGAAAACACCGCGAUUUCGACGACAGCCGUAGGGAUACGACAGAGAAACAUGCGCGGCCACAGAAGUACAUCCAGCUCCGCGCAAUCAGUGGUUCUGCGAUCCAGAAACCGCCAGCUGGGCUAGACUAGAAACUUCUAAAAAACUGUCGUCCCAUAGCAGCUUUCCUAACCACGACAGACAGUCGCCUUUAGAGAGCACCUAACGGUGCUGAGACCGGCCUGGGCCAGCAAAAGCGCAGAGCGGUGCCGGUGCCAAGAAACGCCCGACUUGGUGAAACCAACCUUGUGACCACCGAUUCCACUGGCUUCGCAGGACGCAACGGGCGAAGGCGCGGCUGAGAAACCGCAGGCUCCCUUCACCGAUUAUGCUGCGGGCUGGGGAUGGUGGGGGGCACCCGCGAAAUUGUGAAACCAGCGGCGCUGGGACCCAGCGAUCAGCUGCCCGUAGCAAAUGUCUGUGCAGUUGCAAAAGAUAACUUUUGGCGGAAAGAAGGUUGCCGCCAGAGAGCAUCCGAUAACGCUGACAAAGGCGUGGCGUUGCUAGUGAGAAACAGCCGGCGCUGGGAAAGGAACGGUGCAGCGACCGACCAACUGCGCGCUCGGUGCCACCAAAGUGCUACUGGCUCUACCCACUCUGUCCCCCACGGGUUUAGGGAAGUCUGAUGUCUUUUUCUUUUUUCCUCUGUCGCCUAGGCUGGUGCAGUGAUGUCAUCUUGGCUCAGUGCAGCCUCGACUUCCUGGGAUCCGAUCCUCCCGCUUCAGCCUCUAGAGUAGCCGAGACCACAGGAUUUGCAAGAGGGCAGGAGAGAAAAAUGAACUGCAAGACUCCAGCACAAGAGGUGGGAUUGCUGGCAGAUGUCUGCUCCCUCUCCAAACCUAAUGAACAUCUCAAAGUGCCAUCCACUUUCCUAUACCCUUGAUCUGUGAAAUGGAUCACUGACGCUUUCUCUGUCUUUCCGGAAAUGCAAAACAGGUGAAUUUUCAAGCGCUUGAAUUGUCUCUCACACUUUUCAGUCAAGAGUGGGGCUAUAAACUCCUUCCUCAUAGGAAAUAAUGAACUGCCACUGCUUGGAAGUAAAACGUAUUUUUCCCAUAAGCUUUCACAUUUCCCCCAAAAAAUUAUACAUCCAGAUGUAAUCCCCCCAAGAGGCUUACAGACCCUACCAGGAGCGUUCCCACGCGAACGCAUCAUCUCCCAAUCGGAUCCUGAAAACACCAUGCAACCAAUUCCAUCCUUUUCUGGAUCAACCUGGGCAGAGGACAGGUGCAGAGGAGCCCAGAGAAGGGCCUUGACAAGUCAGGAGACCCAAUUUGGGGUCGCAAUUGUCACUCACUCCCCAGGCGUUUGCUUUGAUC